This 724-nucleotide long non-coding RNA is filed under the name Gopherus agassizii (Agassiz's desert tortoise). RNAcentral describes it as "lncRNA (ENSGAGG00000013216.1)". Lineage: Eukaryota; Metazoa; Chordata; Testudines; Testudinidae. The record is from RNAcentral.
GGAAAAGGAACUCACUGGGAAGACCUAGUGUUUCAGUUUUAACUAUUAACCAAUAGUGGAAAAACAAGGAUGCCUAAGUUAUGCCUUCAGAGCCAAUAGGGUGGAUUUGUGUGCCCCACAUGACAGCAUUUCCCUUGUCUUUCACAUGGGCCGUAUUUAGUUCAAUUCAGAACUGCAGAUAGUACAGCUUGCACAGCAGCAAUGGGAUGUCUGAGCACAAGUGGCUGACUUCCAAGUGACUUUAUGAAGCACUUUUGUACUUUCCUUCUGCAUUGAAUUGGGAUCUGCAUCCUUGACAUUCACCCACCACACUCAUCUCUACUGAAGGAAACAGUGACUAGCACAGCUUUGCAGUAUGAAACUGUCCAGUGUCAAUACAAUAUGAAGAUGUGGCAUUUGAGAGGGUUUUCUUUUAAAAUGGAGGAACACCAUGAAGAAUGGAACAGAAGAACAGGAUCAAAGCCUGGAGAGUUGCCAGUUCCUUGCUGUAGGAUUGUAAUAGAACAGGCCAAGGAAGGUGACAACUUCAAGGCAUCGUUAAAAAGAGUCAAGAUGGUCAUGUGGGUAAGAUGUGGACUGGGAGCUGGCACCACCCCCAGCCCCGGCCUGACCCGACCCCAAGCCAACCCCUUCCCCAAAGUCCCUGUCCCAACUCCACUCCCUCCCUGCUCCUAAUGGACUCCUUCCCCAAAUCCCCGGUCCUUCCCCAAGCACACCACAUUCC